ACUAUCCGGGAGACACACUAUGGGUGCUAACGUCCAUAGUGAAGAGGGAAACAACCCAGACCGCCAGCUAAGGUCCCAAAGUCAUAGUUAAGUGGGAAACGAUGUGGAAAGGCAUAGACAGCUAGGAGGUUGGCUUAGAAGCAGCCAUCCUUUAAAGAAAGCGUAAUAGCUCACUAGUCGAGUCGGUCUGCGCGGAAGAUGUAACGGGGCUAAACUAUGCACCGAAGCUGCGGAUUCAUCCAAUAGGAUGAGUGGUAGGGGAGCGUUCUGUAAGCCGUUGAAGGUGUGUUGAGAAGCAUGCUGGAGGUAUCAGAAGUGCGAAUGCUGACAUGAGUAACGAUAAAGGGGGUGAAAAACCCCCUCGCCGAAAGCCAAGGUUUCCUGUCCCAUGUUAAUCAGGGCAGGGUAAGUCGGCCCCUAAGGUGAGACCGAAAGGUGUAAUCGAUGGGAAACAGAUUAAUAUUUCUGUACUUCUAUAUAUUGCGAAGGAGGGACGGAGCAGGCUAGGCUGGCAUGGCGUUGGUAGUCCAUGUGAAAGUACGUAGGUUGGAAUUUUAGGUAAAUCCGGAAUUCCUUAAGACUGAGACACGAGACGAUGCUCUACGGAGCAGAAGCAGUUGAUGCCAUACUUCCAGGAAAAGCUUCUAAGCAUCAGAUAUAUAGGAACCGUACCCCAAACCGACACAGGUGGUCAGGUAGAGAAUACUAAGGCGCUUGAGAGAACUCGGGUGAAGGAACUAGGCAAAAUAGUACCGUAACUUCGGGAGAAGGUACGCCCUCUAUGGUGAUGGAACUUGCUUCCUAAGCUGAAGACGGUCGAAGUAACCAGGUGGCUGGAACUGUUUAUUAAAAACACAGCACUGUGCAAAAUCGAAAGAUGACGUAUACGGUGUGACGCCUGCCCGGUGCCGGAAGGUUAAUUGAUUGGGUUAGCUCUGCGAAGCUCAUGAUCGAAGCCCCGGUAAACGGCGGCCGUAACAAUAACGGUCCUAAGGUAGCGAAAUUCCUUGUCGGGUAAGUUCCGACCUGCACGAAUGGCGUAAUCAUGGCCACACUGUCUCCACCCGAGACUCAGUGAAAUUGAAAUUGCGGUUAAGAUGCCGUAUACCCGCGGCUAGACGGAAAGACCCCGUGAACCUUUACUAUAGCUUGACAGUGAACAUUGCUCCUACAUGUGUAGGAUAGGUGGGAGGCUUUGAAACUUGGACGCUAGUUCAGGUGGAGCCAACCUUGAAAUACCACCCUUGUAUGCGUGAUGUUCUAACCUAGGGCCCUUAUCGGGCUUGGGGACACUGUCUGGUGGGUAGUUUGACUGGGGCGGUCUCCUCCCAAAGAGUAACGGAGGAGCACGAAGGUUGGCUAAGUACGGUCGGACAUCGUACGGUUAGUGCAAUGGCAUAAGCCAGCUUAACUGCGAGACAGACACGUCGAGCAGGUACGAAAGUAGGUCAUAGUGAUCCGGUGGUUCUGUAUGGAAGGGCCAUCGCUCAACGGAUAAAAGGUACUCCGGGGAUAACAGGCUGAUACCGCCCAAGAGUUCAUAUCGACGGCGGUGUUUGGCACCUCGAUGUCGGCUCAUCACAUCCUGGGGCUGAAGUCGGUCCCAAGGGUAUGGCUGUUCGCCAUUUAAAGUGGUACGCGAGCUGGGUUUAGAACGUCGUGAGACAGUUCGGUCCCUAUCUGCCGUGGGCG
Molecule: ribosomal RNA, 1692 nt
Filed under: Saccostrea glomerata
Lineage: Eukaryota; Metazoa; Mollusca; Bivalvia; Ostreida; Ostreidae
Description: bacterial LSU rRNA
Rfam family: Bacterial large subunit ribosomal RNA
Source: RNAcentral